RNAcentral lists this unclassified non-coding RNA (300 nucleotides) under fungal sp. RNAcentral describes it as "partial internal transcribed spacer region". The stretch from base 1 to 46 matches the Rfam family "Eukaryotic small subunit ribosomal RNA", at positions 1786 to 1831 of the family's 1831-position model. The record is from RNAcentral. Lineage: Eukaryota; Fungi.
AAGUCGUAACAAGGUCUCCGUAGGUGAACCUGCGGAGGGAUCAUCAAAGAAUUUACACACAAAAACCUCAAGUGCUUGAGGAGUUUCGAGGGCAGCCUUUUCUUGAUUAAAAAGAUCUCUCUUUUUUUUCGAGGAGAGAGGCUGGCGUUGGGAUUCCUUGGGUGCUUCAAACAAACGAUCGCAACUAAUGAAAGAAAAGCAAAAAUGGAAUGGGGGGGGGUGGAAAAAAGUGUUUGCCUGAUAAUUUGAUUGGGAAAUAUAUAAACAUACAACUUUCAACAACGGAUCUCUUGGCUCUCA